CCGCAUAAGCCUGCUGUGGUGAGAUCAGGUGAAUGUGGGUAUCGAUACCCGCCGCUGUCAGGAUCAGAUGCUCACCGGAGAUAGCAUCAGUCGAUACCCCGGCAACCAUUCCCGGGGUGAUACCGUCCUGCAGGUUCGGGUUACCGCUCUUGCCGAUACCGACAAUUUUACCGUCCUUCACACCCACGUCCGCUUUGAUGACGCCUAAUUUGGCAUCCAGGAUAGUGACGUUGGUGAUAACCAGGUCGAGCACGCCGUUGUCGCUGGUCAGCGUGUUGUUCGCGCCCAUCCCGUCACGG
This is a small RNA of Morganella morganii subsp. morganii KT, 299 nucleotides long. It matches the Rfam family "5' ureB small RNA". The record is from Rfam. NCBI's taxonomy places the organism in Bacteria, Pseudomonadati, Pseudomonadota, Gammaproteobacteria, Enterobacterales, Morganellaceae.